Molecule: transfer RNA, 73 nt
Organism: Camelus ferus (Wild Bactrian camel)
Lineage: Eukaryota; Metazoa; Chordata; Mammalia; Artiodactyla; Camelidae
Rfam family: tRNA
About the family: Transfer RNA (tRNA) molecules are approximately 80 nucleotides in length. Their secondary structure includes four short double-helical elements and three loops (D, anti-codon, and T loops).
Source: Rfam
GAGGGUAUAGCUCAAGGGGUAGAGUGCAUGCUUAGCAUGCACAAAGUCCUGGGUUCAAUCCCCGGUACCUCCU